UUAGCACUACGUGUGGCCCACUGCAGGGGAGAGCUAGAGGCCAGAUCUUUCCUGUGAGUCAGUACCAGCUGUGGACUGUGAGGGAGGAGAAUAAGAAGCCAACAAGAAGUCAAGCCCUCCCUGUGAGUCAGCACCAUGCACAAGCUGCUGGAGAGAGACCCAGAUGCCAUCCCGGAACAGGGCACAGGCUGGCAGACAAGAAGAGCCAAGAUGUGACCCUCACUCCCUCCACCAGUCCCCCACAGUUCUAUCAUAUGGUUAUCUGACUGGGAAUGGCAGACGAACCUGGGGCUUUCCCAGUUUGAGUCCCCUGCUGUUCAGGACCAGUACUGGACUACAUCCUGCAUUAAUUCCUCACUUCUACACUCGAGAGCUGUAAACUUGUCACUGCUGGUUUGCAAACAACACCCACCCAAUUUACCACAGCAACAGAGAUAACAGUGACACUUGGAGUUCUGAGACAGGUAAACCAACACAAGGUGGAGCUGCCUGCCCCCCCCCAAUGGACCAUGCCUCAAAUGCAGCAGAAGACACUGGGCAACGGAGUGUCCCAUCCUGGCAUUCUUUGAGACCUUACCCCGGGGCUACUGGACUGUCCUAGCCACCAGAGAGUGGGUAAGCCAUCCUAACUUCCAGCCCUCACUGGAAAUGCAAACACUGCCAGAUUCAUCACCAACAGAUCUGCUUAAACUUGCUGCUAAAGACUGACAGGGCUGAGGGCCAACAACAGCCCACUUUAUGGGUGUCUGUCUCAGAUUCCAAGUCCCACUGAAAGUCUCAGGGACUCAACGGGCAAUCCUGUCAGUGGUCAGGUCCAGGAGCCGCUGCUGGCCCUGCAUCCACAGCCGCUCCCACAGCUCCUAGUCCUCAUCACUGGACUCCGCCUGUGCCGCCACCACCUCCUCGAAGUCCCUCUGCCUCCGUCCACGUACCUUCUCCUUCUCCUCCUCUGGCCACCUCUGCACUUGGGCCCUACAGCCUUCGGUGACUUGGGAGCUGGGUGAUUAUGUCGUCGGGUAGGGCCACUGCUGCCUUCGCCGGCCUGGGGGUCUGGGCAGAGGACCUGAGUUCAGAGAGCCUGACCAUGGGGAGUGGGUAACAGGAUCCUUCAGUUGCUUGGCUUUGGUUGUCACAGAUCGACCCAAUUCGUGGGCAACUUUUUCCCAUUGACCUGGGGUCCCUCCUGGGAACCUAACCAUACUUCUUGUCAGUUGGCUAAGGGCCUCUUCUGUCCAUUCAGGUGCCUUAUUUUCUUUCAAUUAGAAAGAGAAAGAAAGGAAGGAAAGGAAGGAAGGAAGGAAGAAAGGAAAGAAAGAAAGAAAGAAAGAAAGAAAGAAAGAAAGAAAGAAAGAAAGAAAGAAAGAAAGAAAGAAAGACGGAAGGAAGGAAAGAAGGAAGGAGAAGGAAAGAAAACGAGAGAAAAUUAAUAACUUUUUAAAAGCAGAGUCUUUCUCUGUGGUCUAGGCUGGCCUUGAACUCACUAUGGAAUCCAGGCUGGCCUCCUGCCUCAGCCUUCUGGGUGCUAGGAUUACAAGCAUGUGCCAUCAUGCCUGGUUAAUGAUUACUUUGCGACCUAGGCUGAUCUUUAGAUUUAGAUACUAUUGCCCUGAUUCUCUUAGUUACUGUGCAAGUGGUUGAUGUGCUGUUACUCAGUGGUGACCAAAUAGCCAUGGGGUAAGGCAAAUGGUAGAGAAAGAACUUUAUCACAGUGAGCCAACUGAUUGGACAGUGACUAGCCUAUCACUGUAAGGAUCAUCAUAGCUAAGACUUGAAGCAAGAGCUUGUAUGGGAAAUUUAAGGAAGUGUGUUCUUAGCCACUGACAGCCCUCAGAGGAAUCAUUGAUACUACAGUGGUCCAUUUCUUUGAUGCACAUUCUGAUGUUAUCUGAAGGUCACCAGAUGUCCUGGGUUCUGUUAACCUCUAGAGUACUGAAGUCUUAUGAUUGAUAUUUCUGUCAUUCCUUUUUCCUGGAACAGCUGACUCUAGCAGUUAAGAUCUUAAUCACUCAAGUACAGAUAUACUGUAGAUUUAUGAAUACUGGGCAAAAGCAAAGGAAGCAAGUUUUUUUUUGUUUUUUUUUUUGUGUGUGUGUGUGUGUGUGUGUGUGUGUGUGUUUUUAUCGGUACCAGGGAUCGAACUCACGACUGCCUGCUUGCAAGGCAGGAGCUUAUGCUGCUGAGCUAAACCCUCAGCCCCAGGAAGCAAGUUUUCUAAGAACAAGUUAACUUAUUAGAUGGUUUCAACUAAACUUUAGCACUAACUUUUGCUUCUUUUGGUGCGGUUUUUUGGGGGGAGGUUUCUUUGUUUUGAGAGAGACAGAGAGGGUCUCACUGAAUAUUCCAGGCUGGCCUUGAAUUUACAAUGUAACCCAGGCUGGCCUCAAACUCAUAGCAAGCCUUCUGAGUUAUUUUUUGAGUAUAAGUACUAAAGCUCCAUGACUUGGUGUUUUGCUUAUGCAAGUAAAAAGCCACCAUCUGCCCAGCACAACUGUAAGGCAUGAAAUAAAAAACCACAUAUUCGUGUUAGUAAAAUAUUACUGCCUUUGAACUUUGGAAAUCAGAGACAUAGACAGCUGGGCUUGUCAGACCAUAUCAGAGAUACUGGGCAUGUGAGCUUAUCAAACAUACCAGACCAUUCACUGCCCCCUUACCUAAACCACAAAAAAGGACAAAUAUCUCAGCCUGCAGCAUAACAUCCUGACCCAUCACUUUGCCAUAGACCCUGUGUAGGCAUCACAGCCUCUAGGAAAUCAUGAGAACAUGACCUCCCAAUUGUCCCCAAACUCAGUUUGGUAUAAUCCCCUUGUCACCAAUGCAUCCCACUUUGUUGUUUUCAUUUUUGGUUUGUUUGUCUGUUUUUGGUUUGGUUUGAUUUUUGUUUUGGUUUGGUUUUUGUUGUUUUGUUUUUGCUUUUGACUUUUUGUCUUUUUUUGAGAUAAGGUUUUGCUAUGCAGUUCAAGCUGGCCUUCAACUCACUUUGAAGCCCUGGCUUGCCUCAAACUCAGCACCUUUUGAGUGCUGAAACUACAGGUGUGUGCCACCAUACUGGAUGCAUCCUACUUUGGAGCAACUAUUUGGACCCUUCAUUUUCAUACCCUCAUGAUUGGUCCCAUUAUAUAAUACCUUACCUCUUGUAAUUGUAUUAACUUUGAAUUACCUCUAAUUUUAUAGUCCUUUAAUUCCAUUUUCUCUUUUCCAACUUUCUGUAUCCUAAUACAACAGUUUGAAGUGUACUGUGUGAACUGAGUGUUGUAAAUAUCUCUAAGAUUAGAAAAUAAUAGCUUGUAGUUGCCUGAGUAAUGAUUACUAAGUAAAAUCUAUAGUACCCAGUGAAAUGAUACCAAUGAUUGUGUAUUCAUUAAUAGUCAAUAAAUCCUAGCCAGGUGUGGUGGUGCAGCACUUGGCAGGCUGAGGCAGAAGGAUCACUGAGUUUGAGGCCAGCCUGAGAUACAUAAGUGAGUUCAAGGCCAACCUGUAUUACACAGUGAGACUCUGCCUCAAAAAAAAAGUCUUGAUAUUAUGGAAGACACAAAUACGUCAGUAUAUUUAGUAAUGAUUUAGCUCGUUCAUGAUGUGUGCUAAUAUUGUGACUUUAUUCAUUCUAUAUUUAUAAUCUAGAAUCCUUUAGUAAGAAAGACCUAUUCCCUAAUGACAUAAUGGUCAGUUCUCACCAAGGAAAACAUGAAAAAUUCUUCAUUCUUUCCCAUUUGUUUGUUGGCAAAUGAAGUCAUUUCCCAGCAACCUGAAAGAUGAUGUGAUUUUGUGCUAUUAGUUCUUGAAUUUUCACCCAUGUUGGUAUGCUUUGAACCACUAAUUGAGGCAGUAGAUUAGAGUGUGGCCAACUGGCUGGAUGACUUGUCAAUCAUGGAGAUCCACAAUGUAUGUACAGAAAACCAGUUCCCAAGGGCUGCUCCUGGGGCAAAUCAGAAAAUGCUAUCUUCAGUUCUUCUGGUGUGAGAUCAAGCAAGUUUUUGAUAGGAUGGCCUAAAUCUGAUAUCAGCUUGAGGACUGAGAGAUACAAAGGAUGGUUUUGACCUGGCCACAGUAGUCUCUGAUUGUCCCAAAUCUGAUAACACUCAAUUUUCCAGAGUUCCAGUUUAAAGAGGCCCUUAAUCUCAUCAAAAUUGUGAUGUUUCAAAGUAGGUAUGUUUGGUCUUAUUAUUGCUGAUGCACAGAUGCAAAAAAACUUUGGAAUCCCUAGAGUAAUGAAAGUCUAUUUUAUAUGCUGAUGAUAAGAGCAGUGGCUGAUGGUUCUUAGUUAGCUUCAGGGUGGUAUCUGGGUGGUCACUAGAAAGAUCAAGGCACAAUUAGAGACCUUCAGCCUCAACCCCACCUGCUGAGAUAGAGAAGGCCAAAAGGUUAAGUUGAUCAAUAAUAACUUAUGAUUGAGCCAAUCAUGCCCACAUCUUGAAUCUUCCAAUAAACCCCAAAAGGCUGAGACUCCAGUGACUUCAGGGUAACUGAUGAUGUGAAGAUUCCUGUAAGGCUGUGUGCCAUGAGAUAGCAUGGGAGUUGCUUGUUUAUUUCCAUAGUCUUAGCCUUAUGCAUCUAUUCCAUCUGGUUGUUCAACCAUAUCCUGUGUAAUAUCUUUUAUGAUAAGUGAGUUAAAGUAAACAAAAUGUUUUGCUGGGUUGGCUGAAAAACAAAAUUUUUUUUGAAACAGGAUUUCACUAUAUAGUUCAGAGCAGGCUUGAAGUUAUUUUGUAGCCCAGGAUGCUAAUAUAGAUAGUACAAUUGAGGUUAUGAAAUUAUUUUCCUUCACUCACUUGAAACUGGGCAAUGCCUCAGGACCAACUCCACUCCCAACUUUGUUCUAAGGCCUACUGUCCGGAGGAAGAAAUAAGAAAUACAAAAACCCCUGAACCUACCCUGAAAAAUUCCAAUAUUACACAGCAAGACUCAUGAGCCUGAAACAUUUCUGAUUAUCAUAGGCAACUAAAUUAGGUAGAAAUUAAUAGGCAGACAGGGAAAGGCCCUGGUGGAAGUCAAUACAAAAGAUGAAAGCACAUCAAAACUGCCUGGAGGUGCAUCUAAAGAAGGCAAAACCUGAAGAUAAAGUCACAGUAGCCAGACUUGCAUAGUUCCCUAAAGAAUGAGUGGAAAUUGAGAUCAUACUAUCAUUGGUACCACCUGAAAGGUUUUGGCCCAGACAGGACACUGUAGCCAGGAAAGCCACAACCGGAAGCAGGAAGCCCCAUCUUGCCCUGCCCCUAGGAAGUUACCUGUGACGCCAUCUUCCCACCCCUGGGAAUUUACAUAUGGCGCCAAACCUAGGACCAAUGGGCUACCUGUGUAUCCCUAAUGCCUGCCUUAGGUUCCACCCCAAACCGAGGCUAUUUACAGGCCCCCACGCCGCGUGUCCGCUAGAGAGAUCGCCGGACGCCAGCGGUGGGGUGCCGGUCAUCUCUCUCCGUGUUCUCAGAAUAAAGGCCACUUUUUAUUUUAUAUUUCUCAUCUUUUGUUAAUAUUUUUCAUCUUUUGGAAAUAACUCUAUCACCACCCAGUCCACUAAAUCCAGAUAUGCAUCACAUACCUGGAAAGCUGAUCUGCAUACCUGGACCCAUCCUUUCCCCAAAUAUUCCUGUUUUAGAAGUCAUAGAUAAGCCAAGGUUAAUGAUGUCAGUCAUAUACCAUUGCUAUGUGCCCCAGUUCCCUGUUGGAUCAAUAUUAGCUGAACAGUUACACUUGUAAUCCUCAAGGUUGAUUGUAGUUUGACUCACAUUACAACUUUAGCGGUAUAAAUUACUACUGACAAAGUGUCUCAGUGACAGCCCACUUGGGACCCCUUUUGUUUCUCAGGAACUAUUCCUAUUUCCCAAUAAACCUUUUCUACUCUUAAUCUCCUUUGUCCAUUUGAAAUCAUUCUUCAAGUUCAGGGCCAUGAACUCAGCAUGUCGGACAUCUAGGCAUUUGGGAGUAGUAUUUCUCCUAUAUCAGUAUGACCAACAGUAACCUUUCCUCACUGGGAGCUCAAUGAAGGUUCCUGUAUACUGACUGUAUCUCAUAUAUCCAGUUGUAACAGAGGGAACUAUGACAAAGGACAUGCACAGUAAACACAGUUACCGUGACUCAGCUGCCACUGACUGUGUCAGUCACAUAAGUCAAUCAUGCUCUGCAAGACCAGACAUAUGGUGCCCUAACUGGGUACAAUGUUUAAAAUUCUUAAACCCAACCCAUUCAGCGUUU
Long non-coding RNA from Cavia porcellus (domestic guinea pig), 6186 nucleotides. RefSeq lists it as uncharacterized. Lineage: Eukaryota; Metazoa; Chordata; Mammalia; Rodentia; Caviidae. The transcript is spliced from 4 exons. The record is from RefSeq and is a predicted model, not a curated record.